Brachypodium distachyon (stiff brome) is the source of this 899-nucleotide long non-coding RNA. RefSeq lists it as uncharacterized. The transcript is spliced from 3 exons. NCBI's taxonomy places the organism in Eukaryota, Viridiplantae, Streptophyta, Magnoliopsida, Poales, Poaceae. The record is from RefSeq and is a predicted model, not a curated record.
UUAUAAUUUUUCUGUUUUAUACUAGGGGAUAGAUUUGACUUCUUUCCAUAAUGAUCUCUAUUUUUUGCAGGGCAUGAAUAUUAAUUUAUUUUGACCUGUUAUGGAAAGAGAAUUACAAGCCACUAGUACUGAAACCUGAAAAGGGAGUCAUGAAGAUCCAAAGACUGGCAAGUUUUAGUAUCAGAUCAUACAUAAUGUGCUGCAUGAGCAAGCUACAGCUGGUGAUUCGAGGGGCUUGUACGUACUGGAUCAUUUUGUACUGAAACCCAAUAACUAGCAGUAACAUUUCGUCAGUCAGGUCUGCUUCUAGUAGCCCCUGGAUCAAUAAAUUCGGAUUUCUCUGCAGAAUGUGGCAAUUUAUGUGUGGUAAAUGGCUAAAUGCUGUGUCCUUUUUAACGUUCAUUCAGAAGCUGUUACACUUAAAAAGUUCCAUCAAUCAUGAUGCUGAAGUCAGCUGUAAUGGCGUGAGAAGAAGGUUUUUUUUACAGGACAUGUAGGAAUGAUUUCCAGACAAAGCUUAAAUGGGAGGGAAGGAAAGGAAAGAGGCUGAAGCCUGAAGGGCCCUGCUGCACCGAACAAGAGCAAGGACAAGAUCAAGAUUUGAAGUCCUGGCAUACGCCAGCAAUUAACUUCCCAAAGCAUACCCGGACAAGCAAGUAAUUUUGUUCAGCGUCUCUUAAACGUCCGCAGUAACGCAAACUUUAGUUAGAUUAACGCAAGCUUUAGUUAGAUUGCCACAUCGGUUCCUUCUUUUUAGGUUUGUCCUAUUUGCUGUCGAAGGUAGCUUGAACUAUGAAGGCUCAGGGAGCAAGGGGCACUCUCAGACCGGCAGUAACCGGCUGAAAACCAACCAAAUUCAAUUUUUCAUUUAAAUUUCAGUACACCUGUUUAAAGGUAUG